UGAAAUUUGGUGCCAUGACUCGGAUCCGGGGAUCUCCCUUGAGAGAUCAAUCCCCUGUCCUCCUGCUCUUUGCUCCAUGAGAAAGAUCCACCUACAACCUCUGGUCCUCAGACCAACCAGCCCAAGGAACAUCUCACCAAUUUUAAAUCCGGGAUGCGCAUGAAAGAACGUGCCACAGAAAAUGAGACACCUCAAUGAGGGUUGUGGAAAAUGCACUAGAAUCAACAAACAUGGGGACUAAUUCAACUCGGAUAUCACGUCUUCAGAGAAGUUUUUCCUGCCCUCCUCUCCCUGUAGAAUUAAGUAUUCUUCCACUGUGCCACCCUCUAACUUGUGCUCAUAUCUUCCUCUAUUGUAGUUAUGUGUUCACAUCCCUGUUGUUUUUGUACCGGCUUCUCCCAAAGGGAGACAUUUAGUCUUAUUCUUCCUGGUAACUUUAGCACAGACCUGGCAGAUUGUUGACACUCAACGAAUGUUUAUCGACUCAAAUGCGUUCAGUUGAACAUUGACCUUUGAUCAACUCUGGGAAAAGUCUGCAAAGCUAGUUAGGACAUUCAGAAAUUCAUUUCAUUUCAAUCCUAACUAAAUAAAUUAUUGAAGUCUCAGAACUUCUCAGUACUGGAUUUAGACACAUAGAAACUUGGGUAAAUAACACCUAUAUUGUUAUAUUCCUCAAAAAAAAGUUUAUCUUUUCAUGAAAUGAAUCUGCUGAGGAUAUUUAUAGAAACUGAAUGUAAGGGAGCAGAAUAAAGUGGUGUGUGUGUGUGUGUUUGUGUUUGUGUGUGUGUGUGUUUGUGUGUGUGUAUGUAAUUUGAAGAGUAGGUGGGAGAAGGUUGUGAUAGGAUAGCAGAUCUUGUUUAUGAUAGUCACUAGCUAAAACAGACACUGCCUGAUGCCUUUCCAAUAUCCACUUCCCUUUUCUUUUUUUUUCUUUUUGGAACAGAGUCUCACUCUGUCCCCCAGGCUGGAGUGCAACAGCACGAUCUCGGCUUACUGCAUCCUCUGCCUCCUGGGUUCAAGCAAUUCUCA
Molecule: long non-coding RNA, 1029 nt
Filed under: Pan troglodytes (chimpanzee)
Lineage: Eukaryota; Metazoa; Chordata; Mammalia; Primates; Hominidae
Description: long non-coding RNA NONPTRT009358
Source: RNAcentral